UUUCGUUGAUCCCUGCAGGACAUGACUGCUAUCGGAUUGAUACUAAGCCAUGUGAGUCGUUGUAGCAAUACAAGGCAGACGGCUCAGUAACGCGUAGUCAACCUACCCUAUGGACGGGGAUAACCUCGGGAAACUGAGAAUAAUACCCGAUAGGCCAUUAUACCUGGAAUGGUUUAUGGCUCAAAUGAUUUAUCGCUGUAGGAUGGGACUGCGGUCUAUCAGCUUGUUGGUGAGGUAAUGGCCCACCAAGGCUAUAACAGAUACGGGCUCUGAGAGGAGAAGCCCGGAGAUGGGUACUGAGACACGGACCCAGGCCCUAUGGGGCGCAGCAGGCGAGAAAACUUUGCAAUGUGCGAAAGCACGACAAGGUUAAUCCGAGUGUUUUCUGCUAAAGAAAUCUUUUGUUAGUCCUAAAAACACUGAUGAAUAAGGGGUGGGCAAGUUCUGGUGUCAGCCGCCGCGGUAAAACCAGCACCUCAAGUGGUCAGGAGGAUUAUUGGGCCUAAAGCAUCCGUAGCCUGCUUUGUAAGUUUUCGGUUAAAUCCAUAUGCUCAACAUAUGGGCCGCCGGGAAUACUGCACAGCUAGGGAGUGGGAGAGGUAGACGGUACUCGGCAGGAAGGGGUAAAAUCCUUUGAUCUAUUGAUGACCACCAGUGGCGAAGGCGGUCUACCAGAACACGUCCGACGGUGAGGGAUGAAAGCUGGGGGAGCAAACCGGAUUAGAUACCCGGGUAGUCCCAGCUGUAAACUAUGCAAACUCAGUGAUGCAUUGGCUUGUGGCCAAUGCAGUGCUGCAGGGAAGCCGUUAAGUUUGCCGCCUGGGAAGUACGUACGCAAGUAUGAAACUUAAAGGAAUUGGCGGGGGAGCACCACAAGGGGUGAAGCCUGCGGUUCAAUUGGAUUCAACGCCGGA
This 914-nucleotide ribosomal RNA is filed under the name uncultured archaeon. Its description in RNAcentral is "bacterial SSU rRNA". It matches the Rfam family "Archaeal small subunit ribosomal RNA", at positions 1 to 922 of the family's 1478-position model. The record is from RNAcentral.